RNAcentral lists this ribosomal RNA (253 nucleotides) under uncultured bacterium. RNAcentral's name for it is "partial 16S ribosomal RNA". It matches the Rfam family "Bacterial small subunit ribosomal RNA", at positions 524 to 776 of the family's 1533-position model. The record is from RNAcentral.
UACGUAGGGGGCGAGCGUUGUCCGGAUUUAUUGGGCGUAAAGCGCGGGCAGGCGGCCCGGUAAGUCGGCCGUGAAAGCGCCGGGCUCAACUCGGCGAGGACGGGCGAGACUGCAGGGCUGGAGCAAGGCAGAGGGCGGUGGAAUUCCGGGUGUAGUGGUGGAAUGCGUAGAGCUCCGGAGGAACACCAGUGGCGAAGGCGGCUACCUGGCUUAAUACUGACACUGAGGCACGAAAGCGUGGGGAGCAAACAGG